UGCCAGGCGCGGGCCGGCGGGGCGGACGCGAGCCCCGCGCCCGGGUCCCCGCAGCCGCGACGGGGACCGGGGGCCGGUGGGCCGGGGGCGAGAGACGGGCUGGGGCGCGCGGCCCGUCGCGUUCAUUUCCUUAAGAAAGCGGGCGGCGCGGUCGGAAGGACGAUUUUGGCCCCGGCCGCCUUCCCCCUCCCCCCACCCCGCCCCGUACCCGGUUUUCUGCUAGAAGCGGGCUCGGGAGCUCUGAGCCCCAAGUGUACGCUCUUGUCUUUGAUGGUAUCGACCAAGUGCGGUUUCAAAUUCAGUUGCCCCGACUGAGGCCGGUUUCCUGUCUGUGUGCGCAGUGGAUGGAAGGACCGCGCCGGGCCUUUAUGCCUCUGCACGUAGACAUUUGGAGAAAAAUCAAAGAGUGCAGUGUCCCAGUCGGCUAAAUGGGCUUGUCUUCUGCCAGGAGGGACACAGUCCUGCAGGACAGAACAAAUGUUGGAUCUCCCAGGAAGCUCUUCGUCAAAACAUCCCUUGCCCUUUUGUUUUUGUUUUUGAAUUAAAAGAUGUGUUUUCUUUCCUCUCA
Molecule: long non-coding RNA, 568 nt
Organism: Orcinus orca (killer whale)
Lineage: Eukaryota; Metazoa; Chordata; Mammalia; Artiodactyla; Delphinidae
Exons: 3
Source: RefSeq, a predicted model, not a curated record